Molecule: ribosomal RNA, 1275 nt
Filed under: Leiodidae sp. BMNH 1274324
Lineage: Eukaryota; Metazoa; Arthropoda; Insecta; Coleoptera; Leiodidae
Description: large subunit ribosomal RNA
Source: RNAcentral
UAAUUUUAAUUAUUAAUUUUUUUAAAAGAAAAAAAUUUUUUAUUUAAGUAGUUUUUUGAAAUAAUUUUAGUUAUUAUAAUUUAUUAGUAAAGUAAUUGAAUUUAAAAAAUAUUUAUUUAAGAAUAAUUUAUUUUUUGUACCUUGUGUAUCAGGGUUUAUUAAAUAAUAAUAAUAAAUAUUAAUUUCUCGGUAAUAAAAGAGUUAUUUAAUUAUAAAUUUUAAUGUAAAAUAAUUAUUUAAAAUAAUUAAAUAGAAGUGAAAUGUUAGUCGAUUUUAUAUAUAUCUAGUUUUUAAGGAAAAAAAUUUAAUUUUUUAUUUUUUAUUGAUAUUAUAUGUUUAUGUAUAAAUAUUAUUAUUAAAGAAAAAAAAUUUUAGGGAUAAGCUUAAAAUUUAAAUAUUAAAAAUUUACUUUAUUUUGUAUAUAAAUAGAAUUAGAAAUUUUCAUUUUUAUUAGUUUGUUAAAAUUAAUAUUUUUAUUAUUAAAAAUUUAUAUAAAUUUUAAAUUUUUUAUUUAAAUAAUUUAAUUAAUUAUAAGUUAAAUGAAAUUAUGAUAAAAUUAGUAUAAAUAAAUGUAUUUUUAUUUAUUUUUUUUAGGUAAUUUAAAGGAAUUCGGCAAAAUUUAUUAUUUGCUUGUUUAUUAAAAACAUCGUUUUUUGUUAAAAAUUUAAGAUUGAGCCUGCCCAAUGAAUAUUAAAUGGCUGCAGUAUAUUGACUGUACAAAGGUAGCAUAAUAAUUAGUUUCUUAAUUAGGAACUGGUAUGAAUGGUUUGACAAAAUAAUUUCUGUCUCUAGAUUAAUUUAUUUUAAAAUUUUAUUUUUAAGUUAAAAAGCUUAAAUUUAUUUAAAAGACGAGAAGACCCUAUAGAGUUUUAUAAUUUUAUUUAUUUUAUAAUUUUUAGUUUUAUUAAUUUAUUUUUAUAAAAUUAAUUAGUUGGGGUGAUUUAAAAAUUUAAUAAACUUUUUAUAUAAAAUUCAUUUAUUUAUGAUUUUAUGAUCCAUUUAUUAUGAUUAAAAGAAAAAAUUACCUUAGGGAUAACAGCGUAAUUUUUUAAAAAGUUCUAAUUAAAAAAAAAGAUUGCGACCUCGAUGUUGGAUUAAAUAAAAAAUUUGGUGCAGAAGCUAAAUUAUUAAGUCUGUUCGACUUUUUAAAAUUUACAUGAUCUGAGUUUAGACCGGCGUGAGCCAGGUUAGUUUCUAUCUUUAGAAAAUUAAAUUUAUUUUAGUACGAAAGGAUUAAGUAAAGUUAAUAUUUAAUUUAAUUGAAUAAAAUUAAUU